UACGUAGGGACCAAGCGUUGUCCGGAAUUACUGGGCGUAAAGCGCGCGCAGGCGGUCUUCCAAGUCAGUGGUGAAAGCCCGGAGCUCAACUCCGGAACUGCCAUUGAAACUGUGAGACUUGAGGAUGAGAGAGGUGAGUGGAAUUCCCAGUGUAGAGGUGAAAUUCGUAGAUAUUGGGAAGAACACCGGUGGCGAAGGCGGUUCUCUGGGCCUUACCUGACACUGAGGAGCGAAAGCGUGGGGAGCGAACAGG
RNAcentral lists this ribosomal RNA (253 nucleotides) under uncultured bacterium. RNAcentral describes it as "partial 16S ribosomal RNA". It matches the Rfam family "Bacterial small subunit ribosomal RNA", at positions 524 to 776 of the family's 1533-position model. The record is from RNAcentral.